GCCUUCAAGAUGCAGGUUUUGCAUAGGUGAGAAUCAUGGUAGUUACCGUACACAGCAUGUUUAAGGCAGGUACACACAGGGCCGGUGCAAGGAUUUUUGCCGCCCUAGGCAAAAAAUAAUUUGCUGCCCCCCCAUAUGCCCUGCCCACCAUGUGACAUCACAAUGCCCCGCCCAUAUGCUCUGCCAUAUGGGCCAACGCCAGUCUUCACAAAGUGUCUUCUAUCUGAAAAGACAGAGUGUUUACAUUAAAAAGCCUACAG
Pelobates cultripes (western spadefoot toad) is the source of this 260-nucleotide non-coding RNA. The record is from the annotation of a GenBank genome assembly. NCBI's taxonomy places the organism in Eukaryota, Metazoa, Chordata, Amphibia, Anura, Pelobatidae.